GCAUAGCGACCCCAGGUCAGGCGGG
This 25-nucleotide ribosomal RNA is filed under the name Phedimus hybridus. RNAcentral describes it as "partial 28S ribosomal RNA". The record is from RNAcentral. Lineage: Eukaryota; Viridiplantae; Streptophyta; Magnoliopsida; Saxifragales; Crassulaceae.